AUUGAACGCUGGCGGCAGGCUUAACACAUGCAAGUCGAGCGGAGCGGCGGACGGGUGAGUAAUGCUUAGGCAUCUGCCUAUUACUGUGGGACAACAUCCCGAAAGGGGUGCUAAUACCUCAUACUAAUAGAUGAGUCUUAGUCGGAUUCGCUAGUUGGUGGGGUAAAGGCCUAACAAGGCGACGAUCUGUAGCGGGUCUGAGAGGAUGAUCCGCCACACUGGGACUGAGACACGGCCCAGACUCCUACGGGAGGCAGCAGUGGGGAAUAUUUGGCAAUGGGGGGAAGCCUGAUCCAGCCAUGCCGCGUGUGUGAAGAAGGCCUUAUGGUUGUAAAGCACUGUAAGCGAGGAGGCGUUACUCGCAGAAGAAGCAACGGCUAACUCUGUGCCAGCCACCGCGGUAAUAC
This 407-nucleotide ribosomal RNA is filed under the name uncultured bacterium. Its description in RNAcentral is "partial 16S ribosomal RNA". It matches the Rfam family "Bacterial small subunit ribosomal RNA", at positions 30 to 526 of the family's 1533-position model. The record is from RNAcentral.